Long non-coding RNA from Cloeon dipterum, 504 nucleotides. RefSeq lists it as uncharacterized. The transcript has 4 exons. NCBI's taxonomy places the organism in Eukaryota, Metazoa, Arthropoda, Insecta, Ephemeroptera, Baetidae. The record is from RefSeq and is a predicted model, not a curated record.
GCAAUCAGCUCACCCUGUUUGGCCCUGAAAAUCAACUCCUCAAUUACCCUUUUUACGGUGAUUGGUUUACCGGAUGCGGACGCAAUUUCUUGUUCUACAAUAUAACUAGAUUGGACUGGGGCAGUGCCUGGGACCUUUGCUGCAGUUUGGGUUUGACCCUGACCUCCUUGGAGUCCAAAGAUAAAACAAAAUGCUUUUCUAAACUUGUCACGAGAUACGCCCGGUUCACUGUAGGCGACUAUUGGCUCUCUGGAACCGACCUAGGUUGCGAUUCAAACUUUCGGUGGUGCUCUCUGGGCCGCGAUUUCGUCGACCCUGAGCUCAGGUGGAAGCAGGGACACCCGAAAGCAGGACUGGACUGCGUUUACGUCGAGGCAAGAAACGGAUCGGUGGUGUUGGCCACCGCGAAUUGCGAUGAGCAGAAGUGGUCCGUAUGUGAAGUGCGCAAAAAGGGCACCAGCCAGGUUGCUUUGCAGAACGAAUGCCUGGAAACCUGGCAAAUCA